Molecule: non-coding RNA, 30 nt
Filed under: Rattus norvegicus (Norway rat)
Lineage: Eukaryota; Metazoa; Chordata; Mammalia; Rodentia; Muridae
Source: RNAcentral
UCCNGGUAUUUCUUCUGGUGCUUUGGUAGC